CUCAGGAUGAACGCUAGCUACAGGCUUAACACAUGCAAGUCGAGGGGCAGCAUGGUCUUAGCUUGCUAAGGCCGAUGGCGACCGGCGCACGGGUGAGUAACGCGUAUCCAACCUGCCUUACACUCUUGGACAGCCUUCUGAAAGGGAGAUUAAUACAAGAUGUUAUCAUGAGUAAGCAUUUUCGCAUGAUUAAAGGUUUACCGGUGUAAGAUGGGGAUGCGUUCCAUUAGAUAGUAGGCGGGGUAACGGCCCACCUAGUCUUCGAUGGAUAGGGGUUCUGAGAGGAAGGUCCCCCACAUUGGAACUGAGACACGGUCCAAACUCCUACGGGAGGCAGCAGUGAGGAAUAUUGGUCAAUGGACGAGAGUCUGAACCAGCCAAGUAGCGUGAAGGAUGAAGGUUCUAUGGAUUGUAAACUUCUUUUAUACGGGAAUAAACGGAUCCACGUGUGGAUUUUUGCAUGUACCGUAUGAAUAAGGAUCGGCUAACUCCGUGCCAGCAGCCGCGGUAAUACGGAGGAUCCGAGCGUUAUCCGGAUUUAUUGGGUUUAAAGGGAGCGUAGAUGGGUUGUUAAGUCAGUUGUGAAAGUUUGCGGCUCAACCGUAAAAUUGCAAUUGAUACUGGCAGUCUUGAGUACAGUUGAGGUAGGCGGAAUUCGUGGUGUAGCGGUGAAAUGCUUAGAUAUCACGAAGAACUCCGAUUGCGAAGGCAGCUUACUAACCUGUAACUGACAUUGAUGCUCGAAAGUGUGGGUAUCAAACAGGAUUAGAUACCCUGGUAGUCCACACGGUAAACGAUGAAUACUCGCUGUAGGCGAUAUACAGUCUGCGGCCAAGCGAAAGCAUUAAGUAUUCCACCUGGGGAGUACGCCGGCAACGGUGAAACUCAAAGGAAUUGACGGGGGCCCGCACAAGCGGAGGAACAUGUGGUUUAAUUCGAUGAUACGCGAGGAACCUUACCCGGGCUUAAAUUGCAACCGAAUAUGGCGGAAACGCUAUAGCUAGCAAUAGCGGUUGUGAAGGUGCUGCAUGGUUGUCGUCAGCUCGUGCCGUGAGGUGUCGGCUUAAGUGCCAUAACGAGCGCAACCCUUGCCGAUAGUUACUAACAGGUUAUGCUGAGGACUCUGUCGGGACUGCCAUCGUAAGAUGUGAGGAAGGUGGGGAUGACGUCAAAUCAGCACGGCCCUUACGUCCGGGGCUACACACGUGUUACAAUGGGGGGUACAGAGGGCUGCUACCACGCAAGUGGAUGCCAAUCCCAAAAACCUCUCUCAGUUCGGAUUGAAGUCUGCAACCCGACUUCAUGAAGCUGGAUUCGCUAGUAAUCGCGCAUCAGCCACGGCGCGGUGAAUACGUUCCCGGGCCUUGUACACACCGCCCGUCAAGCCAUGGGAGCCGGGGGUACCUGAAGUGCGUAACCGCAAGGAGCGCCCUAGGGUAAAACUGG
This 1446-nucleotide ribosomal RNA is filed under the name uncultured organism. Its description in RNAcentral is "SSU rRNA". It matches the Rfam family "Bacterial small subunit ribosomal RNA". The record is from RNAcentral.